CAAGUCGAACGAUGAAGCCUUCGGGUGGAUUAGUGGCGAACGGGUGAGUAACACGUGGGCAAUCUGCCCUGCACUCUGGGACAAGCCCUGGAAACGGGGUCUAAUACCGGAUAACACUGUCCCCCUCCUGGGGGACGGUUGAAAGCUCCGGCGGUGCAGGAUGAGCCCGCGGCCUAUCAGCUUGUUGGUGGGGUAAUGGCCUACCAAGGCGACGACGGGUAGCCGGCCUGAGAGGGCGACCGGCCACACUGGGACUGAGACACGGCCCAGACUCCUACGGGAGGCAGCAGUGGGGAAUAUUGCACAAUGGGCGAAAGCCUGAUGCAGCGACGCCGCGUGAGGGAUGACGGCCUUCGGGUUGUAAACCUCUUUCAGCAGGGAAGAAGCGAAAGUGACGGUACCUGCAGAAGAAGCGCCGGCUAACUACGUGCCAGCAGCCGCGGUAAUACGUAGGGCGCAAGCGUUGUCCGGAAUUAUUGGGCGUAAAGAGCUCGUAGGCGGUCUGUCACGUCGGGUGUGA
RNAcentral lists this ribosomal RNA (520 nucleotides) under Streptomyces niveus. RNAcentral describes it as "bacterial SSU rRNA". It matches the Rfam family "Bacterial small subunit ribosomal RNA", at positions 58 to 597 of the family's 1533-position model. Lineage: Bacteria; Bacillati; Actinomycetota; Actinomycetes; Kitasatosporales; Streptomycetaceae. The record is from RNAcentral. RNAcentral also lists the same sequence under 1 other name.